UACGAAGGGUGCAAGCGUUAUCCGGAUUCACUGGGUUUAAAGGGUGCGUAGGCGGAUAGGUAAGUCCGUGGUGAAAUCCUGCAGCUUAACUGCAGAACUGCCGUGGAUACUAUCUAUCUUGAAUGUCGUGGAGGUUAGCGGAAUAUGUCAUGUAGCGGUGAAAUGCUUAGAUAUGACAUAGAACACCCAUUGCGAAGGCAGCUAACUACGCGAUAAUUGACGCUGAUGCACGAAAGCGUGGGGAUCAAACAGG
This 253-nucleotide ribosomal RNA is filed under the name uncultured bacterium. RNAcentral's name for it is "partial 16S ribosomal RNA". It matches the Rfam family "Bacterial small subunit ribosomal RNA", at positions 524 to 776 of the family's 1533-position model. The record is from RNAcentral.